This 298-nucleotide ribosomal RNA is filed under the name uncultured bacterium. RNAcentral's name for it is "partial 16S ribosomal RNA". It matches the Rfam family "Bacterial small subunit ribosomal RNA", at positions 30 to 329 of the family's 1533-position model. The record is from RNAcentral.
AUUGAACGCUGGCGGCAUGCCUUACACAUGCAAGUCGAACGGUAACGCGGGGCAACCUGGCGACGAGUGGCGAACGGGUGAGUAAUAUAUCGGAACGUGCCCAGUAGUGGGGGAUAGCCCGGCGAAAGCCGGAUUAAUACCGCAUACGACCUACGGGUGAAAGGCGGGGGAUCGCAAGACCUCGCGCUAUUGGAGCGGCCGAUAUCAGAUUAGGUAGUUGGUGGGGUAAAGGCCUACCAAGCCUACGAUCUGUAGCUGGUCUGAGAGGACGACCAGCCACACUGGGACUGAGACACGG